ACAGCUCGAAAGCUACGAGGCUCACUACGCACGAGAAGCGUCUUUGCGCGCCUCUUCACUUGUGAGCGGGCUAAGGUCUGAGUAUUUUAAUCCCCCUCGAUCGACUCUAGCCGGGUCCUGUCCUAAUGGGCAGCGCGACGUACCAGAAAAGCAGUGGCGAGUCGUCUGUGCUCCAUGACCACGUUCAUGUGGGAGAGCGACGGCAAUAGCUUACUUUGAAAGGCGUCGUGGGGAUCGGGUGGAUUUUUUCUCCCGUCGAACGUGGAUUUUAGUCACUCGACCGCGGUGUGAGCUCCCUGCAGCUGGGGCGGCCCUGCCGCCUGCUCACCCAAGGCACACGCCUUGUUACGCACUCCAGUCCUGCACUGGAUAUCGGUCGAUCACCGACCUUCCACUGUACGGGUGUGCUCGUACGCCGUAUGGGGAGUGACAACGGAUCCAUCGUUUGACCGGUCGAGUAAUUCCAUCCUUCAGUGCACUUCGUGGCUCGCAGUACCUCUGCGAAACUCGAUUCAGACUACUCUCGGGCUGU
RNAcentral lists this RNase P RNA (532 nucleotides) under Pisolithus tinctorius Marx 270. RNAcentral describes it as "Nuclear RNase P". It matches the Rfam family "Nuclear RNase P". From Rfam's summary of the family: Ribonuclease P (RNase P) is a ubiquitous endoribonuclease, found in archaea, bacteria and eukarya as well as chloroplasts and mitochondria. Its best characterised activity is the generation of mature 5'-ends of tRNAs by cleaving the 5'-leader elements of precursor-tRNAs. Lineage: Eukaryota; Fungi; Basidiomycota; Agaricomycetes; Boletales; Pisolithaceae. The record is from Rfam by way of RNAcentral.